GGGUUGCUAGCUCAGUUGGUAGAGCAUCUGACUUUUAAUCAGGUGGUCACAGGUUCGAUCCCUGUGCAACCCA
This 73-nucleotide transfer RNA is filed under the name Kangiella koreensis DSM 16069. It matches the Rfam family "tRNA". From Rfam's summary of the family: Transfer RNA (tRNA) molecules are approximately 80 nucleotides in length. Their secondary structure includes four short double-helical elements and three loops (D, anti-codon, and T loops). Lineage: Bacteria; Pseudomonadati; Pseudomonadota; Gammaproteobacteria; Kangiellales; Kangiellaceae. The record is from Rfam by way of RNAcentral.